This is a long non-coding RNA of Panicum virgatum (switchgrass), 1213 nucleotides long. RefSeq lists it as uncharacterized. The transcript is spliced from 3 exons. Lineage: Eukaryota; Viridiplantae; Streptophyta; Magnoliopsida; Poales; Poaceae. The record is from RefSeq and is a predicted model, not a curated record.
UGUCGUCGACCCGUCGUUCCCCAUCCAGCUUGCUCGUGCUGGCCCUGCCGACCGGCGGAGGCGGCAGUGGAGCGUGGGCUCCCAGGCGCGGCAGUGGAGCGGAGGUCUGCUUUGGCCGGUGGCGGAGGCCUAUGCGGCGCAAGCCGCGGGAGGCGUCCGGCAGGCGGUGGCGGAGGUGGAGCGAGGGGCGUGCGGCGGCGGAGGAGGCGCAGCGUGGGCCGGGGGCGGCGUGCGGCGGCCGGCAGCGGAGGCGUAGCUGCGGGCCGGGGGUGUGCGUGCGGCGGCGCGCAGGUGCCGGGUGGGCGGCAGCGCCGGACGUGCUUUGCCUCUUCAAGUGCAGCACUGCGCUCUGCCCCUUCGUCUGCUAGUUCUUCUGAGCUCCAGAGGAAAAAAAAACGUGGUGUUGGUCCCAGCCAUGAGCGAUUACUCAAGCAUGCUGCGAAGCUACUGGAUGAUGGAGGAGGAAGACGAUGACAUGCAUUUCUUGCUUGAUGAUGAUGAAGCAGAGGUGGCGACAUACAAUCUCCUGGUGGAAGCAGAGAGCUCUCACACGCGUCGUCGAAGUGAUGCUCCACCAAAGGUUAUUCGGCCGAGGGACCUUCCUUCUGGUCAUAAGAGGAUCAAUGCCGACUACUUCGUUCCAAAUCCAGUGUACCACGACAAGCAAUUCCGUAGAAGGUUUCGGAUGUUUCGUCCUUUAUUUAAGUGCAUUAAAGAGCCUGUUAAAAAUCAUGAUGACUACUUCAAAAAGAAAUGUGAUGACUGGCUAGGAAGGACUAUCGGUUCUCCAAAAGUGUGUCGCGUCGAUGCGCAUUCUUGCUUACGGACUCCCGGCGGAUGCUGUUGACGAGUACGUGUGUAUUGGUGAUUCAACUGCUAGACAAGCUUUGAAUCAUUUCUGUCAGGCUGUCAUUGAAGUUUUUGGCGAGCAGUACCUAUGGGCACCCAACGAAGCCGAUGUAGCUAGGCUUCUUCAAGAGGGGCAGAAUCGUGGGUUCCCGGGGAUGCUAGGCAGCAUAGACUGCAUGCACUGGGAGUGGAGGAAUUGCACCACAGUGUGGUAGGUUCAGUUCACGGGCAGAGGAAAGCAUUCAACUAUGUUUUUAGAGGCUGUUGCAUCGCAUGAUCUAAGGAUAUGGCAUGCUUACUUUGGCAUGCCGGGGAGUAACAAUGACAUUAAUGUUCUUCACAGAUCCCCUGUGUUCUCCAGUUA